UACGGAGGGUGCAAGCGUUAUCCGGAUUCACUGGGUUUAAAGGGUGUGUAGGCGGGCAAUUAAGUCAGUGGUGAAAUCUCCAGGCUCAACCUGGAAACUGCCAUUGAUACUAUUUGUCUUGAAUCCUGUUGAGGUGGGCGGAAUAUAUCAUGUAGCGGUGAAAUGCUUAGAUAUGAUAUAGAACACCGAUUGCGAAGGCAGCUCACUAAACAGGCAUUGACGCUGAGGCACGAAAGCGUGGGGAUCAAACAGG
RNAcentral lists this ribosomal RNA (253 nucleotides) under uncultured bacterium. RNAcentral's name for it is "partial 16S ribosomal RNA". It matches the Rfam family "Bacterial small subunit ribosomal RNA", at positions 524 to 776 of the family's 1533-position model. The record is from RNAcentral.